AUUGAACGCUGGCGGCGUGCUUAACACAUGCAAGUCGAUCGGUAACAGGUGUAGCAAUACAUGCUGACGAGAGGCGGACGGGUGAGUAAUGCUUGGGAAUCUGCCUAUUAGUGGGGGACAACCCGGGGAAACUCGGGCUAAUACCGCAUACGCUCUACGGAGGAAAGCCGGGGACCGCAAGGCCUGGCGCUAAUAGAUGAGCCCAAGUCGGAUUAGCUAGUUGGUAGGGUAACGGCCUACCAAGGCGACAAUCCGUAGCUGGUCUGAGAGGACGACCAGCCACACCGGAACUGAGACACGGUCCGGACUCCUACGGGAGGCAGCAGUGGGGAAUAUUGGACAAUGGGGGCAACCCUGAUCCAGCGACGCCGCGUGGGUG
Molecule: ribosomal RNA, 379 nt
Filed under: uncultured bacterium
Lineage: Bacteria
Description: bacterial SSU rRNA
Rfam family: Bacterial small subunit ribosomal RNA
Source: RNAcentral